Molecule: long non-coding RNA, 625 nt
Organism: Rattus norvegicus (Norway rat)
Lineage: Eukaryota; Metazoa; Chordata; Mammalia; Rodentia; Muridae
Source: RefSeq, a predicted model, not a curated record
GGAACAGUGGCUUCAGACUCCAUGGUGAUGGGCUCUCAUGAGAACUAGCUACAUGAUGAUGUCUGUGGGUGAGAUGUACACACACAUGGACCUGCUUGGUUGACUGGAUGAACAUGAUUGAUUUUUUUUCCUUCUUAAUAGCUCAAGGUGCCUCAAAAAAAACCCUUUCAUUUUCUUAGAAUGGUUUUGUAGGACAUAACAAAUUUUAUUUGAGAGAAGAAGUUAAUAUUAUAUAUCACCUGUCUGGGCAUCUAGUAGGUGUUUGUGAACACCUUCAGUCUGUGGUAAUAGAUUCCUGUAGUAUUUAAUGGAACGGACCUUUCCUGUGGAUACCAUAGUGUCAAGAUUUAUGGAGGCCGAAGGUUACCAUCAAACAUGGCACCCCACAAUACUCGGGGUGAUUUUCUCUAACAGAGCUGUGUGCUCUGAUUACCAGCCACUGGCCCUAGUUCUCUCUGCCUUUCAACUGAUGUGCAUAAGACGCAACACAACUGUCACUUUAAAAGUAUGAAUAUCCUGAUUCUUUGACAAACACGACUUUUCCAAGGGAUGUUUAAUUUCGAGAACAGAUACGCAUAUGUAACUAAAUUCUCUUUGUGUUGAUUAAAAAAGUAUGACUUGGGUA